CCUACGGGUGGCAGCAGUCGAGAAUCAUUCACAAUGGGGGAAACCCUGAUGGUGCGACGCCGCGUGGGGGAAUGAAGGUCUUCGGAUGGUAAACCCCUGUCAUGUGGGAGCAAAUGAAAAAGAUAGUACCACAAGAGGAAGAGACGGCUAACUCUGUGCCAGCAGCCGCGGUAAUACGGAGGUCUCAAGCGUUGUUCGGAAUCACUGGGCGUAAAGCGUGCGUAGGCGGUUUCGUAAGUCGAGUGUGAAAGGCGCGGGCUCAACCCGCGGACGGCACAUGAUACUGCGAGACUAGAGUAAUGGAGGGGGAACUGGAAUUCUCGGUGUAGCAGUGAAAUGCGUAGAUAUCGAGAGGAACACUCGUGGCGAAGGCGGGUUCCUGGACAUUAACUGACGCUGAGGCACGAAGGCCAGGGGAGCGAAAGGGAUUAGAUACCCGGGUAGUC
RNAcentral lists this ribosomal RNA (446 nucleotides) under uncultured bacterium. RNAcentral's name for it is "partial 16S ribosomal RNA". It matches the Rfam family "Bacterial small subunit ribosomal RNA", at positions 338 to 795 of the family's 1533-position model. The record is from RNAcentral.